Molecule: small nuclear RNA, 140 nt
Filed under: Danio rerio (zebrafish)
Lineage: Eukaryota; Metazoa; Chordata; Actinopteri; Cypriniformes; Danionidae
Description: partial E1 small nucleolar RNA
Rfam family: Small nucleolar RNA SNORA73 family
About the family: U17 (SNORA73A and SNORA73B) also known as E1 belongs to the H/ACA class of small nucleolar RNAs (snoRNAs). Vertebrate U17 is intron-encoded and ranges in length from 200-230 nucleotides, longer than most snoRNAs.
Source: RNAcentral
UGGGAGCGUCAAGCUUCGAGGUGUUGUGACGUACAGUCCCGUUCCAUGACGUUGGAUAGCAAGCUUGUCCCCGGCCUCUGGUUGUGUGGACUGCGUCCUGUAUAUUCCUACAUCUUCCCAGAGCCCUUUGGGCCAUUACU